UACGGGGGGAGCAAGCGUUGUUCGGAAUUACUGGGCGUAAAGGGCUCGUAGGUGGCCAACUAAGUCAGACGUGAAAUCCCUCGGCUUAACCGGGGAACUGCGUCUGAUACUGGAUGGCUUGAGUUCGGGAGAGGGAUGCGGAAUUCCAGGUGUAGCGGUGAAAUGCGUAGAUAUCUGGAGGAACACCGGUGGCGAAGGCGGCAUCCUGGACCGAUACUGACGCUGAGGAGCGAAAGCCAGGGGAGCAAACGGG
This 253-nucleotide ribosomal RNA is filed under the name uncultured bacterium. RNAcentral's name for it is "partial 16S ribosomal RNA". It matches the Rfam family "Bacterial small subunit ribosomal RNA", at positions 524 to 776 of the family's 1533-position model. The record is from RNAcentral.